Molecule: ribosomal RNA, 468 nt
Filed under: uncultured bacterium
Lineage: Bacteria
Description: partial 16S ribosomal RNA
Rfam family: Bacterial small subunit ribosomal RNA
Source: RNAcentral
GACGAACGCUGGCGGCGUGCUUAACACAUGCAAGUCGAACGGAAAGGCCCUGCUUUUGUGGGGUGCUCGAGUGGCGAACGGGUGAGUAACACGUGAGUAACCUGCCCUUGACUUUGGGAUAACUUCAGGAAACUGGGGCUAAUACCGGAUAGGAGCUCCUGCUGCAUGGUGGGGGUUGGAAAGUUUCGGCGGUUGGGGUUGGACGCGCGGCUAAUCAGCUUGUUGGUGGGGUAGUGGCUGACCAAGGCUUUGACGGGUAGGCGGCAGGAGAGGGUGACCGGGCACAUGGGGACUGCGGUACGGACCAGACUGCUACGGGAGGCAGUAGUGGGGAACAUUGCACAACGGGCGGAAGUCUGAUGAAGAAGCGCCGCGUGCGGGAUGACGGCCUUCGGGUUGUAAACCGCUUUCGCCUGUGACGAAGCGUGAGUGACGGUACUGGGUAAAGAAGCACCGGCUAACUACGUG